AUACGUAGGGGGCGAGCGUUGUCCGGAAUGAUUGGGCGUAAAGGGCGCGUAGGCGGCUUUGCAAGUCAGUAGUGGAAGUCCAUUUUUCAAGGAUGGAAGUGCUACAGAAACUGCGGAGCUUGAGUGCAGGAGAGGUUAUCGGAAUUCCCGGUGUAGCGGUGAAAUGCGUAGAGAUCGGGAGGAACACCAGUGGCGAAGGCGGGUAACUGGACUGCAACUGACGCUGAGGCGCGAAAGUGUGGGGAGCAAACAGGAUUAGAUACCCUGGUAGUCCACACUGUAAACGAUGAAUGCUAGGUGUAGGAGGUAUCGACCCCUUCUGUGCCGCAGUAAACACAGUAAGCAUUCCGCCUGGGGGGUACGGUCGCAAGAUUAAAACUCAAAGGAAUUGACGGGG
This 397-nucleotide ribosomal RNA is filed under the name uncultured bacterium. RNAcentral describes it as "partial 16S ribosomal RNA". It matches the Rfam family "Bacterial small subunit ribosomal RNA", at positions 523 to 918 of the family's 1533-position model. The record is from RNAcentral.